UACCCAGUCGAGCGGCGAACGGGUGAGUAACGCGUGGGUACCUGCCCUAAGGUGGGGGAUAACCCGGGGAAACUCGGACUAAUACCGCAUAUGAUCGUGAGGUCAAAGCGGGCCGCAAGGCUCGCGCCAUAGGAGGGGCCCGCGUCCGAUUAGCUAGUUGGUAGGGUAAUGGCCUACCAAGGCGACGAUCGGUAGCCGGCCUGAGAGGGUGAUCGGCCACACUGGAACUGAGACACGGUCCAG
This 243-nucleotide ribosomal RNA is filed under the name uncultured bacterium. RNAcentral describes it as "partial 16S ribosomal RNA". It matches the Rfam family "Bacterial small subunit ribosomal RNA", at positions 84 to 334 of the family's 1533-position model. The record is from RNAcentral.